This 349-nucleotide ribosomal RNA is filed under the name uncultured Mycobacterium sp. Its description in RNAcentral is "bacterial SSU rRNA". It matches the Rfam family "Bacterial small subunit ribosomal RNA", at positions 8 to 359 of the family's 1533-position model. The record is from RNAcentral. Lineage: Bacteria; Bacillati; Actinomycetota; Actinomycetes; Mycobacteriales; Mycobacteriaceae.
AGAGUUUGAUCCUGGCUCAGGACGAACGCUGGCGGCGUGCUUAACACAUGCAAGUCGAACGGAAAGGCCUCUUCGGAGGUACUCGAGUGGCGAACGGGUGAGUAACACGUGGGCAAUCUGCCCUGCACUUCGGGAUAAGCCUGGGAAACUGGGUCUAAUACCGGAUAGGACCUCAAGACGCAUGUCUUCUGGUGGAAAGCUUUUGCGGUGUGGGAUGGGCCCGCGGCCUAUCAGCUUGUUGGUGGGGUGACGGCCUACCAAGGCGACGACGGGUAGCCAGCCUGAGAGGGUGUCCGGCCACACUGGGACUGAGAUACGGCCCAGACUCCUACGGGAGGCAGCAGAAGGG